RNAcentral lists this ribosomal RNA (849 nucleotides) under Triticum aestivum (bread wheat). RNAcentral's name for it is "partial small subunit ribosomal RNA". Lineage: Eukaryota; Viridiplantae; Streptophyta; Magnoliopsida; Poales; Poaceae. The record is from RNAcentral.
AUGCGGAUCCGCAGGUCCGCCUCCCGGCUGCUGGGCGGCGCAGCCGCUGCCUUGGCCCCCGCCCCGGCCCCCUCUGACCCGCCUCGAUUCGAGUUGUCCCCGCCGCCGCCGCCGCCGGCGGCGACGGACCAAGCCCACGAAUCCAGCGCCGGCUUGGUGGCGCCCGAGGCCUCCUCCUGCGUGGAGCCCUGCUGCGUGCUCAGCAUGUCGCCGUGGGACCUCAUGGACCAGUUCGACCUCGCGGAUCCCGAGGUGGAGGAACGCUUCGAGAAGACUUACUUCAGAACUACACGACGAGCUAGUUGGCUCUUCCCAUCCAGUAUCUGCAUGCCGAACGGCUCCAUCAAGGAGAAGACGACUGUAGAUAUGGUCGAUGGGGCCAUCAACAUGGCUGCAAAAACGACAAAGGGGAAGAAGAAUGAGAGCAAGUCAAAGACGAAUAAGGGGAUCAAAGUGAAGAAGGGAUUGUGGACAUGCAACAAGGGGGAUGGCAAGAAGCCACCAAUGAAGAGGCCCGUCGUUGACAUGGGCGAGGCGUUCUACUACUACGCAGGGUUUGGCCCCUCAUGCAACUCCAAGAGGCAUUGCAGAUCAAGCGGUGGUAGUAGUGUGCUGGAAGAACCUCCACUACCCAUUGAACAACAGAAAGAUGGGAGAAUGCCAACAUUGUCAACAUUGCAGAUCAAGAGACACAGGUCGAGAAGCCUAGGCUCAAUGGGAGAAUGCCAACAUUGUCAUCUGCGACAAGGAGAGAAACAACGACGACGCACUUGGUUGCAAUGGCAAACAAUUGCGCGACAUUAUGAUGAUGAAGAGCUUGUUCAAGAAGAGGUGGAGGAGGCCUGUUAA